Molecule: small RNA, 1189 nt
Filed under: Malus domestica (apple)
Lineage: Eukaryota; Viridiplantae; Streptophyta; Magnoliopsida; Rosales; Rosaceae
Description: sRNA MD17G0091800
Source: RNAcentral
GGCUUCUUCCUCCCGAUUUCAGAGCUUCUCUCUCUUCCACUCUCUCUCUCUCUCUCUCUCCCCCUCCAUUGAAGCACCUCCAUACACAGGUAUCGUUUCUCCCGUAAUUAUAUAUUUAAUUAUUUGAAAGUUAGUUCUUUUGUGUAAAAUUCUUUAGCUUUUGAUUACCUGCAAUUUUCAAUUUUAUACAAUAUAGGAUUUUUGGAUAAUUUCAUGAUUUAGCGAUCCUACUAAUGAUAUAUGAAGUAGAAUCAAUAUGAGGAAUAGAUUCUUCAAUUUCGUAGCUUCCAAGCCUAAACAAGUGAUUUUUUGCGUUUGUUUAUGUCUGAUUUGCACCGAUUUUGGUCGGAUCUAUUUCUGAUUUUUGUUUUCCGUUUGAGCACCGGUUGUUUUUGCAUUGCUGGGAAGUUAAUUUUCUACAACUGAGAGUUUUCCUGGCAAAGAGGAUAUUUUGCGGUUUGGUUCCUUGCUUGGUCAUUCUCUGUUUUACUUCCGGCGGUCCUGUUAUUUUUUGGAAAAUCAGGAAUUUGAACAUCAGCUUGCGACUUCGCCGUCGUUUUGAACGCCACCAGCUUCGAUGCAGUCCUUGGAGACACCCCUGCCUCCUUUGCCAUAGUCGAAUUCUUUGCUCACUGGUGCAAAACGCCAUAGAGUAUUUAAACAUCAUCUGGGCCUUCGAUGAGAAUGAGAAUCUAACUGUUUUAGAUAUUUCAGAAUUUCAGAAAGCAAGUGCGGUUUGAUCAAUUAAGGCCAACCUGAUUUACAGAUGUCUGAUUAGAGGAAACGUUGUUGUUCGAAUUUUAGGGUUUUUGUAUAGAAGCUUGCAAGCCCUCUCGAACCAGAAGUUAGUGGUGAUUCGAAACCUGUUAACUGGGAUGAGAAUUAGAGUGGCUUGAAAUCGGAGAAAAUUGAAUUGCAGGUGGUGUUCUGAUUUUUCAUUCCUUCUCAUCACUUCUACAAGAGGUGAGAAAUACAAUUGGGAAAGAUAUGCUGAGAGAACUUGGAAUCAGCUUUUCACAUAACAUGGAUGAUGAAUGUAUGAAACUCAUACACAGAAUAACUCCACCAAGAUUUUAGCUACCUGGCAAUCAACGACUAAUAUCACUUCCAAGAAGGCAAGAUCAACAUAUGGCAUGUCACAACAGUAUAUUUUUCACAAACAGAUUGUAAAAUUGUACACAUCACAUUA